Molecule: unclassified non-coding RNA, 244 nt
Filed under: Hevea brasiliensis (rubber tree)
Lineage: Eukaryota; Viridiplantae; Streptophyta; Magnoliopsida; Malpighiales; Euphorbiaceae
Source: RNAcentral
UUGGAUGAUACACUGCUUGAAGUAACCUAAAGAUUCUUGAUCCAUCAUUUUUAGUACCAGUAAUGAAGUAAGCUAUUCUUGGUGGUGGUGAAAAGGGGUUUGAGAAAGUGGGGUUGUGAGGAAAAUGAGUUUGAGUAUGAGUAUGACUAUGGAAAUGGUGAAGUGGAAGGAGGAGACAAAAGAGGAAAAUUAGUGGAAGAGAAAAGAGGAGGAUUUGUUUGAGAAAGAAAGACAUGAGAUUUGG